UAUAUAGAGCUCGUGCAUUCACGUCACCGAAGUCACAUGACUGGGCAUAUUGACAGUCUAACAUAGCAUUCUUCAAUGCUAAGUCGGUUGGAGAUGGCACGAAAAUAUCUUAUAGCACGACGCCCUGAGUUUUGCCCGAUAUCAUUAAACAUUUAGAAGGUGAUAAACGAAGAUAAGAAAUUGGACUAUUAACCAGCAUCCACUUGUCUUGGACAACUGGAUCUACACAUGUAUCUGUUUCACUGUUGUAACCUGCUGAUGACACCCUGUGACACUCAAAGCUCACCCACCACUUCCCUCUGGGAACAUCCUCUUUGAAGCAUCGCAAUGGUGAGGUAUCUUUGAUCAAUUGUUGGGUGUCAUCUUGUUCUCGUGAU
Long non-coding RNA from Syngnathoides biaculeatus (alligator pipefish), 377 nucleotides. RefSeq lists it as uncharacterized. The transcript is spliced from 3 exons. The record is from RefSeq and is a predicted model, not a curated record. Lineage: Eukaryota; Metazoa; Chordata; Actinopteri; Syngnathiformes; Syngnathidae.